This 482-nucleotide ribosomal RNA is filed under the name uncultured bacterium. Its description in RNAcentral is "partial 16S ribosomal RNA". It matches the Rfam family "Bacterial small subunit ribosomal RNA", at positions 30 to 507 of the family's 1533-position model. The record is from RNAcentral.
AUUGAACGCUGGCGGCAUGCUUUACACAUGCCAGUCGAACGGUAACAGGCCGCAAGGUGCUGACGAGUGGCAAACGGGUGAGUAAUGCAUCGGAACGUGCCCAGUCGUGGGGGAUAACUACUCGAAAGAGUAGCUAAUACCGCAUACGAUCUAUGGAUGAAAGCGGGGGACCGUAAGGCCUCGCGCGAUUGGAGCGGCCGAUGUCAGAUUAGGUAGUUGGUGGGGUAAAGGCUCACCAAGCCAACGAUCUGUAGCUGGUCUGAGAGGACGACCAGCCACACUGGGACUGAGACACGGCCCAGACUCCUACGGGAGGCAGCAGUGGGGAAUUUUGGACAAUGGGCGCAAGCCUGAUCCAGCAAUGCCGCGUGCAGGAAGAAGGCCUUCGGGUUGUAAACUGCUUUUGUACGGAACGAAACGGCUCUGGUUAAUACCCGGGGCUAAUGACGGUACCGUAAGAAUAAGCACCGGCUAACUACGUG